RNAcentral lists this small RNA (30 nucleotides) under Bombyx mori (domestic silkworm). Its description in RNAcentral is "ovarian small RNA-13979". The record is from RNAcentral. Lineage: Eukaryota; Metazoa; Arthropoda; Insecta; Lepidoptera; Bombycidae.
CCUCGGAGUAAGAGGGCCACCUGCCCGAGA